CAUGGUCUAGUCCAGUUCAACCAAGCAAAACGAACUUUAAGUUUGACCUCCCGAAACUAAGUGAGCUACUUCGAAACAGCUUUUAGAGCCAACCCGUCUCUGUGGCAAAAGAGUGGGAAGAUUUCCAAGUAGCGGUGACAGACCUACCGAACUUAGAGAUAGCUGGUUACUUAAGAAAAGAAUAUUAGUUCUACCUCAAGCCCCCAAAUUACGCUUAAAAACAUGUAAGACUUGAGAGCUAUUCAAAUAAGGCACAGCUUAUUUGAAACAGGGUACAACCUAGACUAACGGGUGAUAUAAUUUCUUAUUAACAAGUGGGCCUAAAAGCAGCCACCUUUAAAAAAGCGUUAAAGCUUAGUCACCUUUGCUACUUUAAUUCCUAAAACAUUUUAAAACCCUUUACCACUAUUAAGUAACUCCAUAAACCUAUGGAAGAUAUUAUGCUAGAACUAGUAACAAGAAAUAGAAUUUCUCCAUAAUGUAAGCUUAAGCCACAAUUGACAAACUACUGGCAAUUAACGGUCAUGAGCCCCGUGUAUCAACAUAACAAGAAAACCUUACACCCCCCACCGUUAACCUUACACCAGAACAUUUAUGGAAAGAUUAAAAGAGAAAGAAGGAACUCGGCAAAUUUUAACCUCGCCUGUUUAC
RNAcentral lists this ribosomal RNA (651 nucleotides) under Laliostoma labrosum. RNAcentral's name for it is "partial 16S ribosomal RNA". The stretch from base 1 to 447 matches the Rfam family "Bacterial large subunit ribosomal RNA", at positions 656 to 1300 of the family's 2925-position model. Lineage: Eukaryota; Metazoa; Chordata; Amphibia; Anura; Mantellidae. The record is from RNAcentral.